RNAcentral lists this long non-coding RNA (1154 nucleotides) under Bos mutus (wild yak). RNAcentral describes it as "lncRNA (ENSBMUG00000005915.1)". The record is from RNAcentral. Lineage: Eukaryota; Metazoa; Chordata; Mammalia; Artiodactyla; Bovidae.
ACAAAACUGAAGCCAAGACAUAAGCCAGUUUUUUUUUUUUUCUCUUUUAAAUUUCAGAGUUAAAUUCUUCAUUGAAGAAUGCAAUGAAAAGCAACGUGAAAAAGGCAAGGGUGUACCCAUGUAUCCCACAUUCAGGGUGUGACUGUUUGCAAGCAGACGUGCCUUCAGAUAGCCCACCAGGUCUGCAGAGCCUACAGAAAAAUGAAAGAUCACUCCAUACCAGACUCAGAGACAUCCCUGCCACGCGGCACACAGAUUUAUAACUCUGGGCAAAGGUUUCAACAAAUACGAUUUCUUCACUCCAAAGUCCAUCUAUGUGUAUUGCCUGAAAUACAGAGUGGUGCAUGAUUGUCUGCUGGUCUCUAAUCCCAGGAGCCUCGGCAGCAGAGGCAGGACAAGUUCCUAUAACUCUGGAGACAGAGAUGGCUCACACAGUGCUGUGUAGGGGCGUUCAUGGAAUUUAUUGUUCUUUUUUCAAACUGACAUAGUGCCUACACUGACACAGCCCAGAAAAAAGAAACUAUUAUAAAUGAAAGAUCUAAAAUUUGUCUAUUGUAAAUGAAAAGAUCAUAACCCAAAGAUUUGGUGAAAACAUGCUCCUUAUCCAGACAGUCCACUGUAAUGUUUCAAUUGAAGAGUUUCACUCAGAGAAAGAGAAUGGGUUCAAACAAACAAACAAAAGAUGACAAGAUCCAGGGGUUAGGUUUGAUGGUCUUAAACACACAAGGACGAAGACAAAACUUCUGAUUCCAUGUCGGCGAGCUGGGUACAUGAACUGGGAUGUAAAAUUGAAUCUUUAAAGGCUAUAUUACACUUUCCCAUCCACCUCUUCCAUGAAGACAGGCAAUAGGGAGGUACUUAAAUUUUUUCAUGUCCUAUGGGUGUCACUGAGCAAUUUGUUUCCUAAGCAUCUCCCAUGAAUAUGGCUGAAAUAACAAGUAAAACACACCCGGGUGCCUAACUGGAGGAAUGUACUUCUAACGUCCAAAGUCCAUGUGACAAUGUUAUCUGAAAAACAUUUGACAUGAACCCUAUGCAAUGAUACUGCUGCUAAGUCACUUCAUUCAUGUCCGACUCUGUGUGACUCCAUAGAUGGAAGCCCACCAGGCUCCCCCGUCCCUGGGAUUCUCCAGGCAAGAACACUGGAGUGGGUU